CUGCAUGUAGCAACCCGGGCUCCUCUGAAAAUUCAUAUGAAGAAAGAAGUCCCAAAGCUCGUGCGAUAACGACGCCGUUUAGUGUUGCAGAUUUGCCGCUGUACCAUUCUCACGGCCUAUUUGUGUCAAAACAACGGCAACAACC
Molecule: small nucleolar RNA, 145 nt
Organism: Salvia splendens (bonfire salvia)
Lineage: Eukaryota; Viridiplantae; Streptophyta; Magnoliopsida; Lamiales; Lamiaceae
Product: small nucleolar RNA snoR134
Exons: 1
Source: RefSeq, a predicted model, not a curated record